RNAcentral lists this ribosomal RNA (480 nucleotides) under uncultured bacterium. Its description in RNAcentral is "partial 16S ribosomal RNA". It matches the Rfam family "Bacterial small subunit ribosomal RNA", at positions 28 to 506 of the family's 1533-position model. The record is from RNAcentral.
GAUGAACGCUGGCGGCGUGCUUAACACAUGCAAGUCGAACGAAGCAUUUAGGACAGAUUACUUCGGUUUGAAGUUCUUUAUGACUGAGUGGCGGACGGGUGAGUAACGCGUGGGUAACCUGCCUUGUACUGGGGGAUAGCAGCUGGAAACGGCUGGUAAUACCGCAUAAGCGCACAAUGUUGCAUGACAUGGUGUGAAAAACUCCGGGGGUAUAAGAUGGACCCGCGUCUGAUUAGCUAGUUGGUGAGAUAACAGCCCACCAAGGCGACGAUCAGUAGCCGACCGAGACGGGUGCCCGGCCCAUUGGGAACUGGACCACGGCCCAUACUCCUACGGGGGGAAGCAGUGGGGAAUAUUGAAAAAUGGGGGAAACCCUGAGCCCGCGACGCCGGGUGGGUGAAGAAGUAAUUCGUUAGUUAAACCUCUAUCAGCAGGGAAGAUAGUGGCGGUCCCUGAAGAAAAAGCCCCGGCUAAAUGCGU